Molecule: ribosomal RNA, 253 nt
Filed under: uncultured bacterium
Lineage: Bacteria
Description: partial 16S ribosomal RNA
Rfam family: Bacterial small subunit ribosomal RNA
Source: RNAcentral
UACGGAGGGUGCAAGCGUUAUCCGGAAUCACUGGGUUUACAGGGUGCGGAGGCGGCUAGAUAAGUCAGAGGUGAAAGUUUGUCGCUUAACGAUAGAACUGCCUUUGAUACUGUUAAGCUUGAAAGUAGGUGAGGUUGGCGGAAUGUGACAUGUAGCGGUGAAAUGCAUAGAUAUGUCAUAGAACACCGAUUGCGAAGGCAGUCGGCGAACCUGACUUUGACGAUGAGGCACGAAAGCGUGGGUAGCGAACAGG